CUGAUGUGGAGAGGAAUCUUCCCUUACUGGCAACUCCUGCUACUGACUGGUAAGAAAACAGCAAGCUGGAUUGGACACUGGAUGGUCAGGUCUUGAGUGACACAUCAUCUUAUACAACCCACUUUCUUGACUGGGCUUGCGGCUGUUUUAUACAGCUUCAAACAUCAGGAAAAAAGAGAAGAUAUAGACACCAUUGUAGUGUGAUGUCAUACGGUCGCACUUGGUUCUUAUCUAUUGAACGAGACACAGCGAGCUAAAUGUCUCUUCCGUUCAACCUUCUCACUCGAGUCCAUUGCUACCACAUGACAUUACUCUCCCACUAAAGGGGUUUAGGCUACUUUUAAUAU
Long non-coding RNA from Pygocentrus nattereri (red-bellied piranha), 347 nucleotides. RefSeq lists it as uncharacterized. NCBI's taxonomy places the organism in Eukaryota, Metazoa, Chordata, Actinopteri, Characiformes, Serrasalmidae. The transcript has 2 exons. The record is from RefSeq and is a predicted model, not a curated record.